Molecule: long non-coding RNA, 2859 nt
Filed under: Triticum aestivum (bread wheat)
Lineage: Eukaryota; Viridiplantae; Streptophyta; Magnoliopsida; Poales; Poaceae
Description: long non-coding RNA (TAES_LNC001184)
Source: RNAcentral
CUAGAUACCCCAUUCAACCCCAUUCUUCCCUGAUCUAUAUGUACCUCUGUUUGGUGUUUUAGGCACUGAGCUGCAGGCAAAACAUGUGAGAAACCAAUGCGUGGCAUUUAUAAUUUAUCCCCUUCCUCUAUUCCUUGAUGUGGGCAGAGCUUUCCAAUGGGUUUGUUUUCUUGUAUAUCAAUCAGAUUCACAUAGCUUGGAUAUGCAGCUGCUUGCAUAUACAACAAGGAAUAUUAUCAGGGAAGCUCUUGUGGCCAAAGGUAUGAUUCUAUUUAGGUGGUUCGAGCACCACCGAGUGUGAUUACUUCUCAACUUCCUAUGCCCAUGUAAUGUGACUUAAGCAUCUACAAGUAAUUUAUUUGUUUCCAUUAUUAUAUAUUUGAUUACAUGUCUGUUGGGCAUUUGGCUUUUUGAUUGCUUGUAGAACCAAUUGAGACAUCGAUGGAUAAUUUCAAGGAUUAUAUUAAGGUAUACACCUGACUCGGUGAACAUUUCUUACAUUCAUUCUGAAUUCUCUUGUUUUAUGAUGGGGGUUUUAUAUGUAGUUUUGUGAUUACAUUCCGCAAACAUGUAUUGGUUGCCAAUAUCAUUAGCUCUCCACACAAACAACUAACAUUAGUAGUACACUUCUAUGAAAUAACACCAACGAUGCAUUUUGGUUUGUCAUAACAAGUGCUAGCUGCUAGCUGGUUCCAAUGGAUGAUAAUUUAAUUGUAAACUCAAAUAUCAACCUGAUCGACCAGCAUGGUCCUCAUGACAUUAUUUUUUAUCACCUUUUACUAACGCUCUAAAGAUUUUUUUACUAAAGGAGGAAAAGUACAUAUUGUACUAUGGCAAGUUCACACUCCUUGAAGCACCCAUUUCUACAUCAUCGUCUUGCAUGCAUGAUGCCCUGAUUUGCUUAUAACUUUUAGGCAUUUAGGAACUAAGGAAUUUCCUAAUUGACAUAAUCUACAUUGCGUGUGCAAUGCAAAAAUAUCAUGUCCCCAAAAAUCUCACAAGUUUGCGGGUAUGCCAUUUCUGAUCAACAAUUAUGCUCUCCCACUUCUCUCAUGCUCUUCUCUUCUUAUCUACAAUAUAUGAUGUUACUGUUGAUAUUUUGUGUCAUUAAUUGAAUUUUUACCGAUGGACAUAUGCAGGAAGAUUGAAGUGAAAAGAAUUGAUGCAUGUCUCUUGGCCAUGAAGAGAAAUAUUAUGAGUCCUGCACCGGAGGAGCCAAAGUCUCCGAGGCAACCAUGAUAGAAGUUGAUCCGGAGGUGAUGCUUGCUGUGAAGGUUAGUUUGGCUCUUUCUUUAACUUUAUCUUGGAAAUUGCAAAAAUAUUGUGGUCAUGUUUUUUCUGACUUCGUCCAAUUUGAAAGCAACACAUAAGUUAUAGUCUUGCCUAUAUUGUUAUGCUAAGAUGGCUACAUGCAGCCAUGACCUCUUUUGGUGUCAUACAUAUUUGCACAAACCUACUAUCGCAGUAUUGAACUUUAAGGCCUCAGAGCGUAUACAUGACCUUUGGUUUUGGUGACUUAUCUUACAGCUACAAUAGACAAAUUUUCACUACUAUAUGUUUCGUUGUAUGAUCAUCCCAAGAAGUAACGAUUUUGAGUGCUAAUCCAGAAGCUUAAUUUUGUUGGUAUCCUUAAAUUCCAAACCUGUAUUCUAUUAAACUUCCAUGUUUCAUACUGCACAUUUAUAGAAAUUCCUAUGAUCCAACCGGAAAAGUAGACGGACAUGGCAAUGUUGCGGUGUUUCUCUCAUCUGCUAUUUGGCCUGCAAGGUUACUAUGUUCGUCUCAAAUAAGCAAGCAAGUUUAUAAUCUUUAUUUUAGCUUAUAAGAUGUCCUCAUGCCAGUUUUCUGUUGAUUCAUACAAUGGUUGAUUCAGACCUCAUCUGAUACAAGAGAGCUGAUGCCAAGGAGAGUUAAUAAACCAACUAACAACAUAAACAUUUGCGUACAACCCUCAGUAUAAAUGUGAAUUAUGAUUUCUGUCAACUAACAAAUGGUUCAAGAUAAAGAGAUCAGGUUUUAUGGUUUGAAAUAUACAAAAAUAUUGAUUACAAAUUUGCAAUUGAAUAAUCAUGUUUGGUAUUACUUCUAUCUGGAGAUUAGUCUGAUAUCAUUGAUCAUAGGUAUAUACAUACACGAUUCUUAUUGUAAAGCAGUGUACGAUGAAGACUUAGAUUCGACAAUUAUGUGAUCUGUCAUGUAGUGUGCUAUGCAAAACACAUAGCUUUGGACCCAACUUCUUUGGUUGAAUUAAUCCUCACAAUGGCGUUUCCACUUUGAUUUAUAAUUCUUGUGUUUCCUCCAUAUUCAUGUUUUAGGUUACUGCUUAAUGAAGGAUAGCUCUUGCUCCUAUGUUCAUAACCCAGUGGUGGCUAUAAAUCAAAGCGAGCUGCAGACGGACACACACAAUUGUAAGAAAGUAAAAUAGUACUGCCAGUCAAUAGAGUGCCUGCUUAGUAUCUUUCUGCCGUGGUUUACUACUUACUACCGAUUGGAGAAUCUCUUAUUCAAAAUGCAAAGGAAACAUGCAUUAAAUAAUUUAUUUCAGUAUAUUUUAUCUUUCUCUAUAAUUUAUCAUGGGCGUCGGUGUCUUUCACGGAGUGAGGUACCGCUGAAGAACAACCGGACCGGAUUGGUGGUCGACGACAGAGGCAUGGCCCAAUGAUAUGCCUAGGUGUAAUCCCUUGUAGAAUUUUAUUACAGGCCAUAAUGCAUUGAUUUCUUUAGAUAAUAAAUGUUCUAAAAAAUCUGAAAUAUUUGUACCACCUAUAUUUAUUUUUAUUUUCUCAUAUAUUUCUAAUAUCUUUCCUCGAUAUUUUUAUUUGUAAAUGUCUUGACAUAAGCCUUUCUGGGAGAGCUCUU